CCUACGGGUGGCAGCAGUGAGGAAUAUUGGUCAAUGGACGCAAGUCUGAACCAGCCAUGCCGCGUGCAGGAAGACGGCUCUAUGAGUUGUAAACUGCUUUUGUACGAGGGUAAACGCACAUACGCGUAUCUGUCUGAAAGUAUCGUACGAAUAAGGAUCGGCUAACUCCGUGCCAGCAGCCGCGGUAAUACGGAGGAUUCAAGCGUUAUCCGGAUUUAUUGGGUUUAAAGGGUGCGUAGGCGGUAGGAUAAGUUAGAGGUGAAAUCCCGAGGCUCAACUUCGGAAUUGCCUCUGAUACUGUUCGGCUAGAGAGUAGUUGCGGUAGGCGGAAUGUAUGGUGUAGCGGUGAAAUGCUUAGAGAUCAUACAGAACACCGAUUGCGAAGGCAGCUUACCAAGCUACUUCUGACGUUGAGGCACGAAAGCGUGGGGAGCGAACAGGAUUAGAUACCCGGGUAGUC
This 460-nucleotide ribosomal RNA is filed under the name uncultured bacterium. Its description in RNAcentral is "partial 16S ribosomal RNA". It matches the Rfam family "Bacterial small subunit ribosomal RNA", at positions 338 to 795 of the family's 1533-position model. The record is from RNAcentral.